AACAAGUCAUUUUUUCAGUUUUUAAAUAGAAUGUUUGUCUCUUUGUCUUAUUUAAAACUUUUUAUGAUUAAUAUAAUUAUUAUUACUCCAUGAUAAAACAUAAAUAAUACUUUAUAUAUGAUUAAUUUUUUAAAACUUUUUAUAAAUUUUUUAAAUGAGACAAAUGGUCAAACGCUCAACAUAAAAACCCAAAAGUUCUCUUUUU
RNAcentral lists this microRNA precursor (205 nucleotides) under Oryza brachyantha (malo sina). RNAcentral describes it as "MIR812 microRNA precursor family". It matches the Rfam family "MIR812 microRNA precursor family". Lineage: Eukaryota; Viridiplantae; Streptophyta; Magnoliopsida; Poales; Poaceae. The record is from Rfam by way of RNAcentral.